GACGAACGCUGGCGGCGUGCUUAACACAUGCAAGUCGAACGAAGUGGCGAACGGGUGAGUACUACGUGGGUAACCUGCCCUCCUUUUUGGGAUAAGCUUUGGAAACGGGGUCUAAUACCGACUAAAGGGGGAUGGGCUCGCGGCCUAUCAGCUUGUUGGUGGGGUAACGGCUCACAAAGGCCACGAUGCAUAGCCGACCUGAGAGGGUGAUCGGCCACACUGGGACUGAGACACGGCCCAGACUCCUACGGGAGGCAGCAGUAGGGAAUCUUGGACAAUGGGCGAAAGCCUGAUCCAGCCAUGCCGCGUGUGUGAAGAAGGGCUUCGGAUUGUAAAGCACUUUUGGUUGGGAAACGUUACCAACAGAAUAAGCACCGGCUAACUUCGUGCCAGCAGCCGCGGUAAUUC
RNAcentral lists this ribosomal RNA (408 nucleotides) under uncultured bacterium. RNAcentral's name for it is "partial 16S ribosomal RNA". It matches the Rfam family "Bacterial small subunit ribosomal RNA", at positions 28 to 526 of the family's 1533-position model. The record is from RNAcentral.